This 794-nucleotide long non-coding RNA is filed under the name Selaginella moellendorffii. RNAcentral's name for it is "long non-coding RNA (SMOE_LNC000052)". Lineage: Eukaryota; Viridiplantae; Streptophyta; Lycopodiopsida; Selaginellales; Selaginellaceae. The record is from RNAcentral.
AUUAUAAGCAAUCAACAAACAAUCAGUAUGAAGGUGCUCAAGGCUAGUACAUAUGCAAGUUUAUUUAUCAUUAUUAUCAUUUCUUUAACUAUUAAAAGUGUGGAUGCGGUCACCGCCAUUACUACCUAUGCUGCACCAGGUUGUGCUGGACUAGCUAAUACAUAUUCCAAUUGUGGUGUGUGCCAGACUUUAGCAACAGGAGUUGGAGGCUAUAAAAUUGACUUUGAUGGAAAUCCUAUGCGGAUUUACACUGUACCAGGUUGUACAGGUGAAUCCCCAGUGAUAACUCAAGAUCAAGAAUCAUGUGGUAUCGCUAGCCUUCCUAUUCUCAGCUUUGUUAUACGCUGCCCAUAGGUUGGAUGAGAUGUGAUACUUAAUAAAUAAAGUUGGUUGUUGCUCUUGAGCUAGAGUAUAUUACUAUUAGCAAAUUUUGAGCAAUUUCUUGCAAGUAUUCACUAGGAUGCUUUAAUGGCCGACAUACUUCUUCUAAAUAGACAAUCUUGAUGGCUUGUGAGGUGUAGGGCUUUGAGAUUGUAAUUAUCAUGAUUAUUGCUAUGGUGCAUGGAUAUAUGUUGAAUUAUGAGAAAUUCACAUGUAGCUACUACAAUAUAACAUUACAUAUAACAGUGACUUCAAUAAAUAAUAGUGAUGAGCUUUUCGGAAAAUAAUUUAAUAUAUCUAACUAUUAAAGAGACAUCUAAGAAAUAUGCAAUCUAUAUGAAACUUAAUUCAUAUUUUUUGAGGCAGAAAAUAAGUACCAAUUAGAUAGCUAAUUUAUGGUGCUUACAAUUGCA